Molecule: unclassified non-coding RNA, 352 nt
Filed under: uncultured fungus
Lineage: Eukaryota; Fungi
Description: partial contains 5.8S ribosomal RNA and internal transcribed spacer 2
Rfam family: 5.8S ribosomal RNA (bases 1-133)
Source: RNAcentral
UGGUUCCGGCAUCGAUGAAGAACGCAGCGAAAUGCGAUAAGUAAUGUGAAUUGCAGAAUUCAGUGAAUCAUCGAAUCUUUGAACGCAUAUUGCGCCCUUUGGUAUUCCAUAGGGCAUGCCUGUUCGAGCGUCAUAAAAAAAUUCAAACUUUUUGGAGUUUGGUAGUGGAAUCGGCGUUUUGGUUUUUCAGUUCGCCCUUCCGAAUAACAGUGCCGGCAUUAUACAAAUGUCUUGGAGCGUAGUAACAUUUUUUUCUCCUUCAAGUCUUGUAUUCAACUGCUCGCUACAGAAACACAUUUACUGGAGUAAAAUCCAAAUUUUUGACCUCGGAUCAGGUAGGGAUACCCGCUGA